GCAACCCGCCUGCGUGAAGUCGGAAUCGCUAGUAAUCGCGGAUCAGCAUGCCGCGGUGAAUACGUUCCCGGGCCUUGUACACACCGCCCGUCACACCAUGAGAGUCGGGAACACCCGAAGCCCGUAGCCUAACUUGCAAGAGAGGGCGCGGUCGAAGGUGGGUUCGAUAAUUGGGGUGAAGUCGUAACAAGGUACC
RNAcentral lists this ribosomal RNA (196 nucleotides) under uncultured bacterium. RNAcentral describes it as "partial 16S ribosomal RNA". It matches the Rfam family "Bacterial small subunit ribosomal RNA", at positions 1307 to 1500 of the family's 1533-position model. The record is from RNAcentral.